NACCGCGACCCCAGGUCAGGCGGGACUACCCGC
RNAcentral lists this ribosomal RNA (33 nucleotides) under Wulfeniopsis nepalensis. RNAcentral describes it as "partial 26S ribosomal RNA". Lineage: Eukaryota; Viridiplantae; Streptophyta; Magnoliopsida; Lamiales; Plantaginaceae. The record is from RNAcentral.